Molecule: transfer RNA, 72 nt
Filed under: Deltaproteobacteria bacterium
Lineage: Bacteria; Pseudomonadati; Myxococcota; Myxococcia
Also listed under: 2 other names
Description: tRNA-Glu
Rfam family: tRNA
About the family: Transfer RNA (tRNA) molecules are approximately 80 nucleotides in length. Their secondary structure includes four short double-helical elements and three loops (D, anti-codon, and T loops). Further hydrogen bonds mediate the characteristic L-shaped molecular structure. tRNAs have two regions of fundamental functional importance: the anti-codon, which is responsible for specific mRNA codon recognition, and the 3' end, to which the tRNAs corresponding amino acid is attached (by aminoacyl-tRNA synthetases). tRNAs cope with the degeneracy of the genetic code in two manners: having more than one tRNA (with a specific anti-codon) for a particular amino acid; and 'wobble' base-pairing, i.e. permitting non-standard base-pairing at the 3rd anti-codon position.
Source: RNAcentral
GGCCCCAUCGUCUAACGGUUAGGACAUCGGCCUCUCACGUCGGUAAUACGGGUUCAAAUCCCGUUGGGGUCA